GAGCUUCCUCUGAUAGAUCUGGGGCAAUUGACUGUUGUUCUUCUGGUUUGCACUAGGAUGCGAAAGAAUAAGAGGUUCACGCUCUUGUUGUCUGUCUUUGUGGCAGGUCCAGAUUGAAUGAGGGAUUACAUAG
This is a small nucleolar RNA of Echinops telfairi (small Madagascar hedgehog), 133 nucleotides long. NCBI's taxonomy places the organism in Eukaryota, Metazoa, Chordata, Mammalia, Afrosoricida, Tenrecidae. The record is from Ensembl.